GACGAACGCUGGCGGCGUGCCUAACACAUGCAAGUCGAGCGAUGAAGCUCCUUCGGGAGCGGAUUAGCGGCGGACGGGUGAGUAACACGUGGGUAACCUGCCUUGUAGUGGGGGAUAGCCUUUCGAAAGGAAGAUUAAUACCGCAUAAGAUUGUAGCUUCGCAUGGAGCAGCAAUUAAAGGAGCAAUUCGCUACAAGAUGGACCCGCGGCGCAUUAGCUAGUUGGUGAGGUAAUGGCUCACCAAGGCGACGAUGCGUAGCCGACCUGAGAGGGUGAUCGGCCACAUUGGGACUGAGACACGGCCCAGACUCCUACGGGAGGCAG
This 324-nucleotide ribosomal RNA is filed under the name uncultured Bacillota bacterium. RNAcentral describes it as "bacterial SSU rRNA". It matches the Rfam family "Bacterial small subunit ribosomal RNA", at positions 28 to 351 of the family's 1533-position model. Lineage: Bacteria; Bacillati; Bacillota. The record is from RNAcentral.